Long non-coding RNA from Corvus hawaiiensis (hawaiian crow), 2987 nucleotides. RefSeq lists it as uncharacterized. The transcript has 5 exons. The record is from RefSeq and is a predicted model, not a curated record. NCBI's taxonomy places the organism in Eukaryota, Metazoa, Chordata, Aves, Passeriformes, Corvidae.
UGGGAUGACAACUAACAUUUGAAGAGAUGAAGGGGAGACACAAGUUUUCUUAAACCCCUAUUACUUUUACCUGGAUGUCCUGUGGUACACAUUUAGUUCUGAGCUGUGCUUAGGGCUACACACAUGGUGAGCCUACACCAAGGACUGCAUAAACAGAGUUGUCAAGGGAUGAAUCAUGAGGGGAAAGAGGUGUAAGAUAAAGGUUUUAAAGGAGCUGACACCAGCAGAAAAAAUAUUGGGAGUUUUUCUGCAGAGAGGUUGCACUCCUGCUGCCAUCCCAGCAUAGAAAAAGUUCUUAUUUACGUAGUACAUUAGAACAGAAGAUCCUCUGCAACAUUAUCUAUAUUCAGGAUGAGCAAUCAGAUGAGCCAAAUAUGUGGUCUUUUUCAAGCUAACACAGAUACAACAAAAGAAGAAGUUAUUGAUGGCUUUAGCAUCCCAGAGACUCAGCAAGCUGCCUUCUUUGCCUCUUUUACCAACCCUAUCCUCACAUUUCUUCUAUAAAAAACAUAUAUAUUUCACUGGCUACAUUUUAAAGUAGCAGAUACUAUUAAAAGUACAUAAAGAAUGCUGCAAAUGUACAGAGACCUAUCCAUCUCUCAGAGAUAGUAUUAUGUCUAUCACUGACCACAGCUGAAUUUUGAGCUACAAACUAAGUGUCUACAAUGGGGGAAAAAGUGAAAUCUGAACCGUUUUCCUCACUGGAAUUUCACAGAGUGUUUUUAAAUAAUUUUUCUCACUUUCAAAAUGAUUUUCAGUUAUCAAAAUGAAUGCAUUUUCUCUUUCCAAUUAUAUUAACUCAUUUUUAUCAUUCCUUGUCUUAGAUCAAUCCUAUCUUGCAAGAAAAUAAAAGGGUUUUCUUCGCAGUUAUCCAUAUCCUCUCACUUUUCACUAGAAAGAACAUUAUUGCUUUCUGUGGGCUACCUGAACUAAAACCUCUCCACAUUCAUCUGUAGCUGGGUUCUUCACAGCAUGCCUGCCUAUCCUGUCAUAAACAGAUUUUACUUUUGCACUGUGUUUCCACAGAAGUAUCUUUCUUUAACUGUGACUAUUUGAAUCCCAUGAUGGUUAAUAUUGGAAGAGACCACUGGAAAUCUUCUAGCCCAACCUCUUUGAUUAAGCAGGGUUCCUUGGAGCAUGUUACUCAGUGUGUCCAGAUGGCUUUUGAAUAUCUCCACUGAGAGAGACUGUUGCAUUAAGUUUACAGGAAUUUAGCAGAAAAUAUCUUCUGCUCCAUGUAUUACAGCUGGUCCUGAGAGAUCAGAAGGGCUGAGUGUGGCCUGGUUUAAGUUCUGAUUAUAGCCAAUUCAGCACUAUAAGUCUGGUCAUGUUCAAAGGACCUGGCAUGAGCACAGAUGCACAAAUAAUGAAAUUUAUUGAUCAGGUCUGAUUACAUUCAGUAAGGACUAGCAUGGUCCAGAUUCAUGAUUAAUAUGGCUUUUUGAAAAAAUAGGAAAGCAGGUUCAGGAUUGCCCAUGAUAAAUGCACUAACUACAGUGUUACACGUGUUGUGACAGAAAGUAUAGUAACACAUAUCUAAUAGCGAGAUAUUUAUACAUAUAUAUAUAUAUAUAUAAAUAAAUAUUCCCAGGUGUUCUCCAACACAGUUGGAGGUGUGAAGUUCAUCUAAAGGCUUCAGGAGAAGUCACUGGGAGAGAAGCGGAGACACAGUCCAUCUACCAAUUCCAAGCAGACAGAAGUGGUUUUCCUCUCCAGCCGUUUCUGACCCAAAGUUCCACUUUUAUGUAUUAAUUUGGGUCUGUCCCAGUGGGAUGCAACAACUGAAUAUUCUAGAUGAGGUUUGGUGAUUUUGGUCAUACACGUAUUACAUGUCCCACAUUCUCCUUUAUUCACAUCUUGAAGAGUGAAUAAGGUGAAUAAUGUUAAUGGGGCUUAAUGAGGGUCUUGGUUACAUUUGGUGAGAAUUUAUAGUUGACAAAAAAGGUACAAUAAACACUUUGGUCUUUCCUCAUGCACGGAAGCAGCACUAAAGGCUGUCUGACCUUCACUGGAGAGUCUUUGUGUGCUCCCUUUUUUCCUUAAUGAACCAGAUUUUUAGCAAUGCUUUUUUUGCACAGCGAAGGGAGUGAGUCUAAUGGCUGGUACAGGUAUGUGGGUGCUCUUCUGUGCCUCACUGAAAUAACAUUGGGCGUCUGCUUCACCCCAGACACCAUUCAUUUGUCAGCCCUUGCUCGAGCAGGUACAAGAUCAGCAAGGGGCUCACUUCAGGUUUUUCUCAACCUGCCUCAAUAAUUCUUCACUGUCUUAAAACAACACUGUACAAUUCUGAUCAUUCAUGACAGAGAGCCCACAAUCUCUCUGGGCAAUCUGUUUCAGUGCUCUGUCACACACACAGGAAAGUUCUUCAUAUUCAGGUGGGACUUCCUGUGCAUCAGUUUCUGCCUGCCUGUCACCUUUUGUUCUACUGAUUGGCACCACCUAGAAGUGCCUGGCUUCAUCCUCUUCACAGAGCGACAGAAUCACAGAGUAGUUUGGGUUGGAAGGGACCUCUGGAGAUCAUCUAGUCCAACCCCUCUGCCAAGUCCGGGUCACCUUCAGCAGAUUACAUAGGAACAUGUCCAAGUGAGGUUUGAAUGUCUCCAGAGGAGGAGAUUCCACAACCUGCCUAGGCAGCCUGUUCCACUGUUCUGCCACCCUCAAGGUAAAGAAGUACUUCCUGAUGUUGGAGUGGAACUUCUUGUGUUUUAGUUUAUAGCCGUCGUUCCUUGUCAUGUCACUGUGCACCACUGAAAAGAGUCUGGCACCUUCCUCUUGACAAAUGUAUUUGAGAUAUUUAUAUGUAUUAAUGAGGUCCCCUCUCAGUCUGCUCUUCUCUAGACUAAACAGACCCAGCUCCCUUAGUCUGGCAUGACACCCUUCCUUCAGAUAUUUAUAUACAUUGAUGAGGUACCUUCCCAGUCAUCUCUUCUCAAGGCUGAACAGGCACAAUUCCCUCAGCCUUUCCUCAUGAAACCAUUGUUCCAGUC